RNAcentral lists this long non-coding RNA (2435 nucleotides) under Lupinus angustifolius (narrow-leaved blue lupine). RNAcentral describes it as "long non-coding RNA (LANG_LNC002727)". Lineage: Eukaryota; Viridiplantae; Streptophyta; Magnoliopsida; Fabales; Fabaceae. The record is from RNAcentral.
UACUACCUUUCCCUCAUCAUUUCAACUUCCUACAACUCUUUCAUCACUCAAAUUUACCUUCUUUCCUACCAUGGAAGCUCUCUCAGUUGGUUAUUAUUAUUUGCACAUAAAAAAUGUACUAGGCCAUGAACUCAAAAACAGAUACAACCCCAUAUUUGUUACUCUACUAUCCUCUAAGGAUAGAGAGAAUAAAGACAAGGGAGGAAAGCUGAGAAUGUUGAAAAUGUUGAGUGGCUUUGAGAAGGUUGGGAAGAGACUGAAGCAGAAUUUGAGUCCACAGCAAAAGGGUGAUUGGAAAGACUUGUUCCUCAUGAGUUUAUCAUUUGCUGUUUAUGUCUACAUAUCUCAAAAGCUAGUCUCUGCUUAUUUUGCUUGGACUUCUAUGCCCAAGCAAAUUUGGUAGUUACUUGCUUUUUGCAUUUGUAUUUUAUUAUAACUUUUGGUCAUUUACUCUGUUGUGCAGCUUUAAUUCUGUAUGAAAGCACAAAAAUAAAGGAAAGAACCUCAUUAUCUAUAGUAACUUGGUCAUAAAGAGAUGUAAAUUGAGUUUAUUCUCACUCACAUUUAUUCUUAAUUAGCCAUCUUCAUUCAUUGUCUAUAAUAAUCCAUUAAGAGGGAAUUCAUUCUUAUAUAUUCAAGCUAUCUAAAAGAGCCUUUUUUCAUAUCAUAAAAGCUAUUAUGUGCUUAUUUUGCUUGGACUUCUGCUUCCAACCAACUUUAGUAGUUAUUUCCUAGUUCCUAUCUCUGUAGGCCCUAUAUUUGCAAAGAAGAGAUGAACACUCUAAUUCUUUUCUCUCUCUAUUUUUGGUAUUUUACUUUGUUGCAGUUUUAGCUGGGAAAGACUAUGUAUGAUGGAACACAAAUAAAUAGGAAGAUAGUCUUUACAAUUUUCAGCAAAUGACUCUAGUAGUUUUCUAUUUCCUUUCUACUAUUAGUGUCUAAUUCUACACUACCUAUCCAUUUUCAUUUUCUGGAUUAGUACACUACAUGAUUGAGAAGUCAUCAUCCAAUCCAUCAAGAUCUCCUUUAACUUUGUGUUGUUGGAUGAUCAACACGGAUACGGUCAUUGAGAAGUCUGGUCCUGAAAGAACAUCCCCUAUUGGUCCUAGUUCAGGGCAUUGUUGCCAAUCAUUCAUUCCCCUUGUCAAUAUAGAGUUCAUUCCACCUUCUCUUCCAACAAUGACCAAUGAGUAUUGUCCUUCAAAUGACCUUAGAGUAGAAAAUGUCUCAGCAGCAUUUGCUAGAUGCUUCUCUGUAUACGAAAUACGGCCUCCUACUACAUGCCUUUCGUAGAAAUGCGCAAAGUAUUCGUCAUCCAACUUCAUCUCAUUUUCUUGGUCUGCAAGGAUGACCCUAUACCUGACUAAUCUUGAGGACUCUGCAUUUGGAUCUACCAAGAAUCUUAUUAUUGUUACUUUUACUCCUGGAUGCCGUGCUACACGGCUAGCAUAGGCAAGUGCUUCCCUAUCAUCUUUCCCUCCGAUGAAUAUGACUGCCACAUUGAUUGUUACUUUAGAUGCUGAUAUAUGAUCAAUGGAUCCAAGGCCUCUGUCCACUAGAAUCCCAACGGAACAAGGGGCACUUCUCAGUACCUGUUCAACGAAACAUGUUAGAUAAAGUCUUCAAAAUAAGUUAUUUCUAUUAUAUCAUGAUAAGUUACUCCUUCAAGCUUCAAAAUGAGUGAAACAGUUACACUUUUCUAGAAGUUCAUUUAUAUUUCAAUAGCCAAAGAAGUUGGUAAUGAAAUUGAGAAUACGCUUUUGAAUUAGGGGUGAGAGCCUUCAUAAGCCCCCAUGUUGAUAAACAAGGAUGCAAACUGCAGGUUAUGAAGGAAAAGUAAAAAAUUUGUUGCUAAAAUUUAUUUUUCUCCCAAAGUAGGUUCUCCUAAUCUUGUUUAAUUUGAUGUCACAAUUUGAUACUGAGUAAGCUAGAAGCAAAAUAUAAGCAUCUUCUAUUUCCUUUUGUUCUUUUGGAAGGCUGCAAUUUCAUUUUGCUAAAAUACCAAAGAUGCAUUCAUACAUGCAAGAGAGCAUAAUUUUCACAUUACAUAAAAAUUUGUAGCUUUUAUCUCCUUUAGAUUAGCUUAUCAUAUAUUCAGGUAAAGUUGGUAUAUGUUUAGAUUAGCUUAUCUUUUAUUUGAAAGUAUUUCGAAACUAUCUAAGAGAGUUCUAAAAAACUAUCACUGAAUUUAAGCAUUACCAAAAAUGCAUUUAAGUUCGGUUAAGGGAACCAUUACCUUUCGGUUCACAUAUCUGAACCCUUGAUUACCACCAUCCAAGGUUCCUUCGGAGCGGUGGCUCCUAUGGAAUGGUAGUAUAAUGAGGGCAAUCAUCAAGUCCUCUGCUAAAACACAGAUAUCUUGAGGCAUGUUAUUGAUUGUUGAGAGUGCCAUUGUUCUUUUGAGAGUAAUACCAUCACUGUUUUCUUCCACAUAG